This 484-nucleotide ribosomal RNA is filed under the name uncultured bacterium. RNAcentral describes it as "partial 16S ribosomal RNA". It matches the Rfam family "Bacterial small subunit ribosomal RNA", at positions 30 to 507 of the family's 1533-position model. The record is from RNAcentral.
AUUGAACGCUGGCGGCAGGCCUAACACAUGCAAGUCGAGCGGCUGAAGGGAGCUUGCUCCUGGAUUCAGCGGCGGACGGGUGAGUAAUGCCUAGGAAUCUGCCUGGUAGUGGGGGAUAACGUCCGGAAACGGGCGCUAAUACCGCAUACGUCCUGAGGGAGAAAGAGGGGGAUCUUCGGACCUCACGCUAUCAGAUGAGCCUAGGUCGGAUUAGCUAGUUGGUGGGGUAAAGGCCUACCAAGGCGACGAUCCGUAACUGGUCUGAGAGGAUGAUCAGUCACACUGGAAGUGAGACACGGUCCAGACUACUAAGGGAGGGAGCAGUGGGGAAUAUUAGACAAUGGGCGAAAGCCUGAUCCAGCCAGGCCGCGUGUGAGAAGAAGGUCUUCGGAUUGUAAAGCACCUUAAGUUGGGAGGAAGGGCAGUAAGUUAAUACCUUGCUGUUUUGACGUUACCAACAGAAUAAGCACCGGCUAACUUCGUG